AACAAACGCUGGCGGCGUGCCUAAUACAUGCAAGUCGAACGAGGAAAGCUUCCGGGUGAGUACUAGUGGCGCACGGGUGAGGAAUAUAUGGGUAAUCAGCCCUCGAGUUGGGGAUAACCAGUCGAAAGACUGGCUAAUACCGAAUAAGACCACAGGAUCUGCGGAUCUAGGGGUUAAAGGUUUUUCGCUUGAGGAUGAGCCCAUACGGGAUUAGCUAGUUGGCGAGGUAAUGGCUCACCAAGGCUACGAUCCCUAACUGGUCUUAGAGGAUGAUCAGUCACACUGGAACUGGGACACGGUCCAGACUCCUACGGGAGGCAGCAGUAGGGAAUAUUGCACAAUGGGGGAAACCCUGAUGCAGCGACGCCGCGUGAGUGAUGAAGGCCUUCGGGUCGUAAAGCUCUGUCGUAUGGGACUAACACAAUGAAGGUACCAUGCAAGAAAGGAUCGGCUAACUUCGUGCCAGCAGCCGCCGUAA
This 478-nucleotide ribosomal RNA is filed under the name uncultured bacterium. Its description in RNAcentral is "partial 16S ribosomal RNA". It matches the Rfam family "Bacterial small subunit ribosomal RNA", at positions 29 to 523 of the family's 1533-position model. The record is from RNAcentral.